This 3982-nucleotide long non-coding RNA is filed under the name Rhipicephalus microplus (southern cattle tick). RNAcentral describes it as "uncharacterized LOC119161294". The record is from RNAcentral. Lineage: Eukaryota; Metazoa; Arthropoda; Arachnida; Ixodida; Ixodidae.
GCUAUUUUGUGGAGUGCGUUUAUUUUGUUGAUCGCCGCCGGCUGAUGUCAAAAGUUACGAGGAAUGACCAAAAUUAACAUCGGGGUCUUUCAUCCCUCCUGCAACUACUGGCGUGGACAAGAAACGUCGGCGAUGCGACCUUUUUGGCUACGAAACUGAUCGUCAGUAUAACCUGACACAGCACUUUAGGGUUCAUACAAAGGAGAGGCCAUUUAAUUGCCAUUAUUGUCCGAAAGACUUUUCAGCAAAGUCCAACUUCAAUGAACACGUUAAGACCCAUAGAGGAGAGCGCCCGUAUAAAUGCCAUUUGUGUGACAAAUGUUUCGCACUAAAUGCCACAUUGAAAGAUCACCUGUGUACUCACACAGGAGAAAAAAAAUAUCAAUGCCCUAUAUGCUUCAAGAGGUUCAGGUUUAGGGUAGAUCGGACCCGACAUAUGCAUGAGCACAAAUAGCAGUGACAAUUUUAAUGAAGUUUCUACUGUACGGGAUCUGUCUUUCUAAUAGUACUUUUGAUUUCUUCUGGAGCACUGUAGAAUUGCUGAGUUAUGUGACACAAUAAAGCCCCACUAUUAACAAUAAUAGGAGGUUUAAUUCUCAAUAGAGCAUCUAUACAUAUGCCGUAAAAUGAGGGUAGAAUGUUUUAAACAUAAACAUAUUUGGCAGAGGUCUUUUUGGCUUGGUAUAAAUUAUGUGAAUAAAACACUAUUCAGUCAUGCUUAGUAUACAAGUUACAAUAGUAAAACUAAAAACUGGCCCCACGAUUUGACACCCAUUCGUUCUUAUCAGUGGUUGGCCUUUCUUGCUCUGAAGCUAGUGAUAUUUCUUAGUGGUGUUGUUCGCUUCGCAGUCUUUGAUUAGUGGUCAAUUACUGUGCAUGCUACAAGUUUGGGGAAAAAGCUAUGUAUUUGUGCUAAUGAGCAACCAGAGAGACAUGCUGCAUACAUUAAAAUAUUGUAAUAAUUUUGGAAGUCUAAAUUGUAAAUCAGCUUACAUGUGCUUCUUGAAAUUGUAGUCGUGCUGUAAAAGUCUACGCGUUAUCUCGAAAAGCCACAGGGAUAUUGUUUUACAUAACAUAAACUAUCUUUACUUGUAUGACUGGUGCAAUCUGCAGUGUGGAUUGGUGAAUGAUAUGAUGCGGUCUCUGCAUUUUACGUUCAUUUUGUUGAUAUCUCUGUGCCCUGUACAUGUAAGCUUUAUUGAGAGCCUUUUUUGCUUCCUGGUAUUAUUUUUUAGCUUUCUUAUUCUAGUCUUUGCAACAAGCACUUUGCACAAAGUAAGCACUUGUUUAUCUGUAAAACUAUCACUUGAUUUAUUACAUUUAUUCACACUAAAUAAAAUACUGUAUCUUCUGAAUGUCUUGUAAUCCUGGUAUUUCAGUCUUUGCUGGCAUUUGUGUAUGUUUAAUAUGUUCCCAUGCAAGCCGAGUGAUGGGUCUGAUUUAAUUAUUUAUUAUUGCCAUUGAGUAUUGUUACAGCGAGAAAUUUACAUUAGUAGCAACUAUUAUUGUGGAAAUGCUUUGUUGUAAAAAGCCAUUCUCUUAGUAAAGCUUUUUUUUUUUCUUAAGACACCUUUAACACAGGGCCCUGAACCACUUCUAGUGCAUAGACGAGAGAGUGGUAUCUGUCGCGCCUUCGAACACAGUCCUUGUUACGGACAGUAUCGACUUCUCGCCAUUUAUUUCUUCAUGAAGCAUGUGUACAACAUCGGCAAUUUUUGAGUUUAUAAGGUUUUUCGCGCUUGUCGGCUAUGCGCUAGUAUGAUUUUUUGGGCAGUUAGAAACAGAUAAAGCCCAGUGAAAUCAAUUGGUUGGGUCCAAUAGUCAUGUGAGACAUGGAAGCACAGGUGGAUGACAGCGUAGGAAAGUAGGGUAGGAGACAAUUACCAACUGAUGAUUUUCGUAUAUGGGCCAAUUGACGAUUUGUGCAUUAAUUACCUGAAUCGUCCUUCUGGCUUCGCAAAUUGUGCCAAAAGGAUGAGAAACUGCUGGAGAAAAAGACCUCGUUUUUUGUAUCUUCGAAGACUGUUUAGGGCCCUUUUAAGGAGGCUCUAGUAACAUUUGUUUUCCUGAGCAUAAGAGGUACUGCGUUGUAGCUGUUAAACCAAAUGAAAACAUUUUAAUCUCUGCUGUAGUAUUUGUUAUAUCGUGCACAAUGUCAAGUUAGGAGUGCUAUUAUAGUACAAUGUAACUUUCAGUUACAUAAGAAAUUACAAAGUUGUAGUUUUCGUAGUGACAUCACUUUGUGAUUAUUUCCAAAACAUAUGUAUUCAUGUAGAAUAGUGCAGUAAAAAUGCAUCAUUUCUUUUCAUUGCUUCUUGAAGCUCUUCUUCAUUGAUGAUUAGAAUAUUUUGUAGAUUAUUAGGUCAGUGAAAACCAAUUUAUUUGUGCUCAUGGGUGACGAUGAAGACAUAGUACUGUUGAGUCACCAAGUGUUGUAAGAUAUAUUUUUUUUGUUGGUAUUUCGGGAGUACUUAUUGCUUCACUGUAAUCUACAGAAUUGGGUAAAAAGCAUUACUGCAACUGCAGUUACAGGUACCCUGCAAACACAAUAUAGUUACUGAUGUAGUCGUUCAUGUAAUGUGACAGUGAAAUAAGAUUAUAACAUGCCUUGCACUGAGUAUGCGGCAAGAUCCCAAAGAAAAGCUUACCAGAGUUCCCAACGAGGAAGAGUGGAGCAUAGAAGUUUGUUUCUUGUACGAAUAGAGGAAAGCUAUCAUUGUGAGUGCGCUGAAAGGAAUAAAGGAAAGGGAAUUAACAGCACGUGAUGAUUAGGUAGAGUAUAAGUAAGUGUUUUCGUAAAACUGUGUUGUUUUCACCAGAACAAAGGUCAUACAAGGCGGAAUGUGCAUCCAACAUUGCAGAAAAUGCUGACAAUUACUAAGCAUUCUAAGGGCUGCACAAGUGAUUUCUGGUUGUUUCAUGUGCACUUCAUGCACACCAUGUGUUCUCUUUGUGACAUUUGAUAAAUCAGAAACUCAAGAUUCUGUGGUCAUAGAUCAUUGAAAGAUAAUCUAUGACCAUGUGAUAUUGCUUGGUUUUCCGUGCAUUCAAGAGCACUAAUUGUUUAAUACUGCCUUUUGAGGACUUGUGUCGGUACACUCCAUCAUAGUAAAUGCCUAAUAUUAGAUCUCCUAUUGAAAGUUUGUUGACUCUGUUAACAUUCUUGAGGGAGAGAGAGAGAAAAGACUAUAUCAAUAUACACAGUGGGCCGGCAGUUUGGGCUUGGUGGCUUUAGGCGGCGGCAUUGACUCCCUGGACUCUGGCAGCAUCCUCGGCGUGCUAGACGGCCCAGCGCUGGGCGUUCAGCUCUGAGCAAUGGAGGGCCACAUCCCAGGGGUGGCAGCAAUAAAAAGUUUACAUGCCAAGUGUUCAUACAUAGAAAGUUACCUAUUAAAUGUGAAUGGUUCAGUGGACAUGUUCACUAAACAAGUGGGAUUCCAUGUGUCUUUUGUAUUGUUUUUCUUUAAGUGACAAUUUACCUUUUUGUAGGAAAGUUAUCUUUGGGGAUCAGAAUGAAUAUGAAUGCUUUGGUAAUUGUGCCAGCAUCUUUUUUUUGGUUGUUAAAAACAUUAACAAGUUGCAUACUCAAAUGAGAGCUCUGAAUCUUUUAUUUUAAAGAAACUUUAUGUGACUGUUUGGCCAUUUCGUCUGAAUUUGUAAUUUGAACAGAUGCCACGAAUCCUGCUCUAUGAUGUUGUAAAUAAAAUUUUGCAUUUCAUUAAUGAACACUUUGGGGUACUGUCAUAUUAGCUCAAGUUCACGUAAUGUUUGUUCUGUCUCUCAUUCUGAAUUCAAUUUACCAUCUCGGAGAGAUGAACCCAUAUGAACUCGCUCAAGCUUCCAUUCUUAUGCAAAGUAUUUACUCAUUUACUUGUGGUAUGGUGCUUUUUUUCUGUCUUUGUUUUCUGUAAACUUGAAUCUGGUGCCCUCUGUUUUGUUGCUUGCAAAAUAUCAAAAUAUAAUAUUGUUAUGUAAAAAUGAA